RNAcentral lists this ribosomal RNA (523 nucleotides) under uncultured bacterium. RNAcentral's name for it is "bacterial SSU rRNA". It matches the Rfam family "Bacterial small subunit ribosomal RNA", at positions 8 to 521 of the family's 1533-position model. The record is from RNAcentral.
AGAGUUUGAUCCUGGCUCAGGAUGAACGCUAGCGGCAGGCUUAACACAUGCAAGUCGAGGGGCAGCAUAAACAUUGCUUGCAAUGUUUGAUGGCGACCGGCGCACGGGUGCGUAGCGCGUAUGUAACCUACCUCAAACAGGGGCAUAACACUGAGAAAUUGGUACUAAUUCCCCAUAACACCUGAGAGGGCAUCCUUUUGGGUUGAAAGUUCCGGCGGUUUGAGAUGGACAUGCGUUGUAUUAGCUAGUUGGUGAGGUAACGGCUCACCAAGGCGACGAUACAUAGGGGGACUGAGAGGUUAACCCCCCACAUUGGUACUGAGACACGGACCAAACUCCUACGGGAGGCAGCAGUGAGGAAUAUUGGUCAAUGGACGCAAGUCUGAACCAGCCAUGCCGCGUGCAGGAUGACGGCUCUAUGAGUUGUAAACUGCUUUUGUAUGAGGGUAAUAUCAGGUACGUGUACCUGCUUGAAGGUAUCAUACGAAUAAGGAUCGGCUAACUCCGUGCCAGCAGCCGCGGU